GACGAACGCUGGCGGCGUGCUUAACACAUGCAAGUCGAACGGAAAGGCCCUGCUUUUGUGUGGUGCUCGAGUGGCGAACGGGUGAGUAACACGUGAGUAACCUGCCCUUGACUUUGGGAUAACUUCAGGAAACUGGGGCUAAUACCGGAUAGGAGCUCCUGCUGCAUGGGGGGGGUUGGAAAGCUUCGGCGGAGUGGGAUGGAUUCGGGGCUUAUUAGCUUGUUGGUGGGGGAGUGGCUUACCAAGUCUUUGGCUGAUAGCCCGCCUGGGAGGGGAGCCGGCCACAAGGCGACUACGGGAGGGAGCAGAGGCGAAUGUUAGGCAAUGGUGGGAAGUCUUACACAACGGGGCGAAGUGUGUGGCAAAAAUGUUGGGAUCGUAAAGACGUCCUAGUGGGGGGGAACCGCUUUAGGUUGAUACGUAGCGGUAGUGACGGUACCAGGAAAAGAAGCACCGGCUAACUACGUG
This 468-nucleotide ribosomal RNA is filed under the name uncultured bacterium. RNAcentral describes it as "partial 16S ribosomal RNA". It matches the Rfam family "Bacterial small subunit ribosomal RNA", at positions 28 to 507 of the family's 1533-position model. The record is from RNAcentral.